GGUCGCGUAGCUCAGUUGGGAGAGCGCCUGCCCCACACGCAGGAGGCCGCUGGUUCAAGCCCAGCCGCGAUCA
This 73-nucleotide transfer RNA is filed under the name Thermoplasmata archaeon. Its description in RNAcentral is "tRNA-Val". It matches the Rfam family "tRNA". From Rfam's summary of the family: Transfer RNA (tRNA) molecules are approximately 80 nucleotides in length. RNAcentral also lists the same sequence under 1 other name. The record is from RNAcentral. Lineage: Archaea; Methanobacteriati; Thermoplasmatota; Thermoplasmata.